RNAcentral lists this long non-coding RNA (6102 nucleotides) under Theobroma cacao (cacao). RNAcentral describes it as "long non-coding RNA (TCAC_LNC006057)". Lineage: Eukaryota; Viridiplantae; Streptophyta; Magnoliopsida; Malvales; Malvaceae. The record is from RNAcentral.
AGUAAUUGAUCACUGCAUUGAAAUAUUUAACUUAUUAAUUAAUGAAUAACCUCUUGCUUAAAAGAGCGGUCCAAAUUCACCUAAAAAAAAGUAGUUGACCACCGCAUGAUUUUAGUUGCUCUAACAUAAGCCGAAGUUCAUCGCCAGAAAAGAAGAAAACAAUGGCGGGCAUGCUGCAAGCAGCUGGUGCUACUCUUUCUGUUUCAAGUCUUGUAAUAAUUCUGAUGAUUCUGCUCAACUCAACUUCAUAUGCAGCAGCAAUAAGUGCUUCACUGCAGUCCCUCAACGGCACUGCCUCCGUCGCCGCCGACGACAUGGAGGUGGAGUUCGUGAUGGGUUCCAAUGUCAAUCGAAUGCUAGCAGGGACCCCACAUCCGAUCGACGCCAGCAAAACCCCUGGCAAACCAGCUGGGAAGUCCCUGCCUCGUAAGAACUCCCCAAAGAAAAAUCAGCCUUGUUCUAUCUACACUCGUGAUUGCCACCGGUACAAGUAAGCCGAGCAUCCAUUACCUCCCAAAUGGGAAAAUAAAGCUUGAAUUAGGGUAAUCAUUAUUUCCUUAAUUUUGUAAUUUUGUUUUCUGCUUCAUUAAUUUUGUAUGCAUGUAAUUGUAAUUGUAAUUGUAAUUGCAAUGUAAUGUCCCACAUAAAUAAAAGUUGCCACUUGUUUGAUAUGUUUUUGUAGGGAAUUUAACUAGUUUAGAUUACUGAAAAUCGUUAUUAUAUUAUAAAGGAUAAUUAAAUAGAUGUAAUAAGAACAAAUUGUUAACUCUAAUUAUGUAUUUGAUGUUAUCAGAACAAUACAGUUUACCAAUUCUUAACAUCAAAGUAUAUUAUAAUAAAGGAGGAAUUAAAUGUAAAGAAGUUAUGAUAUAUACUUGAAGGUAACUUAUCAAAUAUUUCUUUAUAAACGAUAUUUGUUGUCUCAUUUAACUGUUGUCCAUCAUCUUAUGUGAUCAAAACUUUCAAUCCUUGAUGUGAAGUAAUUCUUGAAAAAGCAACAUAUAGUUGACUAUGUGUGAAAAUGGGUUUAGGUAAAUAUAAAUCAACUUUAUCGAGUGUACAACUUUAUCGAGUGUUUGACUUUGACUUUUGUUGAUCGUCAUUUUGUAGCAUAACCUAAUUAAGAAUUGUUAUUUAUUAAAAAUAAAAGGUCAUUUUUUAUUUUUAUUAUUAAUACUAUUUUAAGAUCGUAAGAAUUUAUUGUUAGCAUGUAUACAAGAUAUAAUUUUGUCUUCUACAAUGUUUGAAGCCAAUUGUGUAAUGAGUAGUCUAAUGCUAUUGCAUAAUCCAUAGUUCUAGUUAAUAUUUCUCAAUAACAUUAUUAUUAGGGAUGCCAAUGUGUACCCUAUUACAGGGUACUCGCGGAUACCUGAAUCGGUUAUAUAAGGUUAGGGUACCCUAUAAACAGGUUUAAGAUUGAUCUGGAUAGUGAUUUCAUUACUCGAAUCGAGUUCGAGUAGGGUUUAGGUAUCACCCCUUGGGUACCCGUUAUCCGAAUUCGAUUACUAUUUACAAAUAUUUUAUUAUUAUUUUAAUAAUUAAAUUAAAAAUAUACAAUUUUUAUCAACUUUACAAACAAUUCUUUUUGUUAAAAACUAACAAAUAUAUGAAAAGUAUGGUUACUCUAAUUAUUAAUAUGAUGACAUUAAUAUAUUUAAAUUAAAAAGUUAUUAGAUUGCUAAUCAUGUUUAAAUAAUAUGAAUAUCAUAUCAUAUUAUAAAUGAAUAUAAUUACUAUUAUAUAUAUACUUUUAACAUAAAUAUAUUUACUUUUUAUUUUGUGUUUUAACAUUACAAAAAUUAUGACUUAUAAAAUUAUUAAUUAUAAUAUAUACCAUUAGUUAUAUAAACUUAUAACAUAUAUACUUAAAGAGAGCUUUUGAGAUUAGAAUAGUUUUACAACCUAACUAUUUUUUUUAAUUUCAUGAAAUUAAGGAUAAAUCCAUAUAGUUAAUUAAAUUAAUUCAUGAAACUAUUAUUAUUAAUUAACUUGUAAUGUCCUUCAAUAUAUAUAGUUUAUAUAUUGUGUUAAUUUAUAAGAAAUAUAAUUACUAUUAUAUAUAUACUAAAAUAUUUUUAGUGUAUAUAUACUUUAAAUAUAAACAUACUUAAUUUUUAUUUUGUGUUAACAUUAUAAAAUUAUAACUUAAUAUACAUUAGGUUCAUUUAUAAGAAAUAUAAUUACUAUUAUAUAUAUUAAAAUACUUUUAGUAUAUAUACACUUUAAAUAUUAAUAUAUUUAUUUUCUAUUUUGUGUUAACAUUACAAAAUUAUAACUAAUGAAUUUAUUAAUUAUGUUUGAGAUAUUUGUUUUUGAUUAUAUAAAUUUAAAUUUUAUUAUUUGUGUGUUUUAAUUAAUUUAAUUAUUAGUAAAUUAUAUGAAAUAUGUAAGAGAAAUAUUAUUGUAUAUAGAUACGGAUUCGAAUUCGGGUAAUUGGUUACCCGUAAUAGUAUUUUAAUAAUUUUUUUACAUAAUCAGGUUUUUAAAUGGAUUAGGGUAAUUAUAGGGUAGUGGGGAUAUAUUAGGGUUAGGGUUAGGGUUGUAAUUUUAAAAAAUAUUUGGGUAGUUAAUAGGAUUUGGGUAGUAUAUUUUUUUUAUAGGGUUUGGGUUCGGGUACUUCAAAAUUAACGGGUACCCUACCUCGUUGACAUCCCUAAUUAUUACACAACCUACUUUACGAUUGAGAAUAUGAUAAGGUAUACUAGAAAGCUUGAGUGAGUUUAGGAAUUUUGUUGCGCAAAACAAUUCAUGGUUUGACAUUCGAUAUGUUGAAUGAGAAAUUGUAUCAUUGUUGUAGUUUGUCUUCGUUUCUCCUAGUACUAAGGUAAGAGUAUAUGCAUUUAUUAAAUCAAUUGUUUCACUGCAAAGGGUAACUAAAGAUUCUUUUUUUGUUUUUUUAGAUAUGCAAUAUCAAUAUAGUACUUCUCAAAAUUAUCAUAAACUUCUUUUACAAUAUUUUUUUAUUAGAUCAUUCAUGUGUGGAAGUAGUAAAUCAUUGGGUAGUUUAAUCGAAUAUGAAUCAUCUUCGUUUUCAUGUAUAGUUGUUUCUGAAUUUCCAUCACUUAUAUUUAAUAAUUAUUUUCCAAAUGCCUCAAUUUCAUUCCUUGAUUGUUCAUCUAAAUCAUUUUGUUGUAAUCUUAUGGAUUUUUUUAACAGAAUACUUUACAUUGAGUCCAUAAUGACGAUUGAUUUAUUGUAGCAUGUUGCGUGCUUUGCUUGUGUGAUGUGAAAUGUGUUCAAAUUAAAUGCAAAAUACAAACAAAGACUACAUGCAAGUGUACACAAUCGUAACAAGUAAUAUAGUGAUAAGUUGAGUUUGUCGAUCCCUUGAGAGGUUGGUUUGCUAGUUGUUGCUAAUUACUAAAAUUAAAACAAGUUAAUAUAUCCAAGCACCAAAUUUUGAAAAAUAAUUAAAAAAUAAUAUAAUUAACUAAUUCUAAUAUGAGAAGUGUAAAUAACAAAUUGAGGUGGAAGUAAUGGUUUGAUAAUCUAGGGUUAUGGUAUCCUUUAAUAUUUCACUUGGAAUGGUGUUUUCUUAAUUAUCUAAUCUUAAUGGAAAUUGAUACCCAUCUAAAAUCCUAAAGCAUGUGUAAUUCUCCAUCGAGAUAUUACACAAUUACUUAACUUAAAUGAAUCGCUAUAUGUCUAUAGAAAACAACUAAAUUAAGUUCUUUAAUCUAAGGUUCUAAAUAUUGACUAUAUGUGGCAACUACGCAUAUGCCUACCUUAAUUGCACAUCAAAACACUAAAUUCAAUUAUAAGUGUUGUCACGACCCGGAACUCCUAUCGAGCCCGUGACAACCGUCGCGUUGUCCCGAUCGACACUCAUUACCCAGAUUAUUAACUAGAACCCUGCAAGGCUUUAAUAUUAGUUUCUCUUUUCCCUGGUGAGCAAUCAUUACCAAAUAUCACGUUCUAAAAGAAUUUAAGCUAUUUCCAACUGAAAUCAAUAAAAAAAAUGAUUUCUGUCUCACAGGAGCAUUUUGGUCAUUUUUUCUCAAAAGUUUCAAAACUAGUUAAAAAUGUAGUAUGCAAGUAUAAAACACAUAAUUCAUAAUAAAAAAUAACUUUAAACGUCUAAAACUUUCAUUUAAAAUGAAAUUAUAACUAUUUGAAUAUAAUAAAGAUAUAGAAUAAAAUAUUCAAUUUUUUCAUAAAACAAUAUUUUUAGAACACUGCGUAAAUAAUUUUUACAGCGAAAAAGUAAAAUAAAUUCAUAUAUAUUGUAAUAUAGAUAACCAAAGUAUAAAAUUAAAUUUGUAGUGACAUGUGGGCCCACGAACGACUAGAAGUGUCAAAAGAAUUGAACCUACAUAUUUUGAGGAUGCCAAUCCAAUUGUAGUCCUCGAUGAAAUAAGCUAUUUACUGACUAUCUUGAUGCCUGAAAUGAGUGGAAAGGAGGGUGGUGAGAUUAUAAAAUCUCAGUGAGUAAACAAAUAUCAUUUAAAAUAUCUAAAGGCGAGUAAAAGGAGACUAUUAAAACAUUUCAUCAAACUGUAAUUUAUCAUUUUUAAACUUAUUUCAACCAAAUGAAAUCAAUUUAUUUAAAUCAAGUAAUCAGUAUGGCUUAUGAAUUUCUUAAAAAGCUUGGCUCAUGCCAAAAAUUGUUAUCAUACUCAGUUAUCUGGGAUACCUUGGCCGAAGGCUAUCCCAACUGAGUCUGCCAAGGCUAUUAGAAAGUCAUGUACUCAUAAAACAUGUUUUCAUUUUGAAAAUAUAGUCGUUCCUUGGCGUUGGCUGAGCUCACCUUCACGUGGUCGUUUGGCAUGAAGUGAACUCUAAAAUCAUACCUCGGGAGUUACCCUACUCGCCUCUCCAUCCGAGGUAAAAUAUAACGGGGUUUACCGUGCCCCUCUAAUAGGCUAGUCCACGGAAACCCGUCUACUGCAGUAAGCUAAACCAACCAUACAAUAAAAUUUUGACAGCAUGACAAGGCUAAUAUAUUACUACAUAGCCUGCAAGGGUAAAAUAAAACAAUUUAUACAAUUCAUAAAACACAACCUAGCCAGUCAUGCUAACACAAUAACAUAAGCCAUCAAUUCAAUCUUAAAUUUACAACAUAUUAGUGGUCUCCAAUUACUCUAUUUUCAAAAUCAUCAUUCAGUUUCCAAAACAAUUUAUAAAAUCUUUUUAUUUAAACUCAUUUUUGUUUAUAAAACCUAAAAUUUGCCAUUUAACUCAUUUUCAUAAAAUUUCACCAAAACCGAAUUAAAACAUACUUUAGAUAAUCAAAAUGAUAAUAAGGUUACUCAUAGUACUAGGAGUUCGAUAUACUCCUAUUCCCGAUCUUUGGGCACAAUCUCUUUACCCUUGUUAGAGGGCUCACCACCUAUACAUCAUACGUGACACGAAUUUCAAUAAAUUAUGUCAAUUUAUCAUAAACUGUUUUAGGCUCUCUAAAUCUAAAUGAAUGCAUGUGAUGGGAUGCAAAAUGUCUGAUUAAUCACUUAAAUGUGAUAUUCGACCUAAGUCACACUAUACUCGGCCUAAUCGGCUAAAAUCUCCAAUUUAACUCCAAAUCAAUUCUUCUCACUUUUUACACUCCAAUUAUACCUAAAUUACCUCAGUGACUGUGAAUUAGAUUUAAUUUAUCAGUCCCAGGUCAAUAAUCACACAUGUUUAUACGUUAAGCAAAAAUUCAGAUUUUCACACCAAAAUUUUUCAUUUAAUUUCUAGCCUCACUAAACAUCAAAUAUCACCAAAAUAUCAUAAAAUAUCAUCAAUUUCAGCCACAAUAUCCUCCCUAGAAAAUUCAGCGAAUGAUGGGUGAUGGGAGAAAAAUGAAUUUUUCUUGUUAGUUUGUUUCUAGACAUGAUAAACUAACUAAAACACUAACAUAAGUUAGAAUCAAAUCAAUCCAACUUCAUUCUCUCUCCAUACCCAUUCCAACCAGCCAUGAAUUUACCAUGAAAACAUAAAAUCUAACCAUGAAAAAUGAAAAAGAAAGCAUGGGUAGUGUAAAUCACAAGUCAAAAUUAAGAAAUUUUACCUUUAUUAGCUUAAUCCCUUGAAAUCCCACACUUUUUCUUCAAUUUUCCCACCUAGGGUUCUUGUUUUUUUCCUUUCCUCCUUUGUUCUUCUUUGGCCGGCCAUAUGAAUGAG